This 62-nucleotide transfer RNA is filed under the name Falcidens halanychi. Its description in RNAcentral is "tRNA-Phe". Lineage: Eukaryota; Metazoa; Mollusca; Caudofoveata; Chaetodermatida; Chaetodermatidae. The record is from RNAcentral.
UGCUGAGAAGCUUAGGUAAGCGAGACAUUGAAGAUGUUUAGACGGGUAUAUCCCCUUGGCAG